This 468-nucleotide ribosomal RNA is filed under the name uncultured bacterium. RNAcentral describes it as "partial 16S ribosomal RNA". It matches the Rfam family "Bacterial small subunit ribosomal RNA", at positions 28 to 507 of the family's 1533-position model. The record is from RNAcentral.
GACGAACGCUGGCGGCGUGCUUAACACAUGCAAGUCGAACGGAAAGGCCCUGCUUUUGUGGGGUGCUCGAGUGGCGAACGGGUGAGUAACACGUGAGUAACCUGCCCUUGACUUUGGGAUAACUUCAGGAAACUGGGGCUAAUACCGGAUAGGAGCUCCUGCUGCAUGGUGGGGGUUGGAAAGUUUCGGCGGUUGGGGAUGUACUCGCGGCUUAUCAGCUUGUUGGUGGGGUAGUGGCUUACCAAGGCUUUGACGGGUAGCCGGCCUGGGAGGGGGACCGGCCACAUUGGGACUGAGAUACGGCCCAGACUCCUACGGGAGGCAGCAGUGGGGAAUAGUGCACAAUGGGCGGAAGCCUGAUGCAGCAACGCCGCGUGCGGGAUGACGGCCUUCGGGUUGUAAACCGCUUUCGCCUGUGACGAAGCGUGAGUGACGGUAAUGGGUAAAGAAGCACCGGCUAACUACGUG